This is a long non-coding RNA of Onychostoma macrolepis, 410 nucleotides long. RefSeq lists it as uncharacterized. Lineage: Eukaryota; Metazoa; Chordata; Actinopteri; Cypriniformes; Cyprinidae. The transcript is spliced from 3 exons. The record is from RefSeq and is a predicted model, not a curated record.
GAGCAGAUCAGAUCUCUGUGUGGAGCACAAACAUCUCACUGGAUUAUUACAGUUAUGGCUAAAUCAAUGAUAUUUCCUCCUGACACACGACAGCAAAAGAUAGAAAUAACUGUCUUGUUUGUGCUUAGGUUCGCUCCAGGCCUCUAGCAUCACCGUGGGUCUCCGUCUCCUGAUCUCCAUUUGGGUCUCCACCGGUGCCGCAGAAACUGGUCACGUGACCAAAAUGAGAGGCGGGAGAAGUUCAAAGGAGAGGAAAAUCAAAAACUGAGGAAUGAGCAACACAUAAGUAAUGAACUAAAAGAAACUGGUGGCAGAAAUCAGAACUCUUUCACCGCCAAAGAAAAGUUUAUGAGAAAAGUUGUCAGCCAACGCCAGCAUUUUUAUGAUUUUCACUAAAAUGUCAUGACCUC